RNAcentral lists this ribosomal RNA (301 nucleotides) under uncultured bacterium. RNAcentral's name for it is "partial 16S ribosomal RNA". It matches the Rfam family "Bacterial small subunit ribosomal RNA", at positions 509 to 807 of the family's 1533-position model. The record is from RNAcentral.
CAGCCGCCGCGGGAAUACGAAGGGUGCAAGCGUUACUCGGAAUUACCGGGCGUAAAGCGUGCGUAGGUGGUGGUUUAAGUCCGUUGUGAAAGCCCUGGGCUCAACCUGGGAAUUGCAGUGGAUACUGGGUCACUAGAGUGUGGUAGAGGAUAGUGGAAUUUCCGGUGUGGCAGUGAAAUGCGUAGAGAUCGGAAGGAAGAUCUGUGGCGAAGGCGACUAUCUGGGCCGACACUGACACUGAGGCACGAAAGCGUGGGGAGCAAACAGGAUUAGAUACCCGCGUAGUCCCUGUCUCUUAUAC